This 460-nucleotide ribosomal RNA is filed under the name uncultured bacterium. Its description in RNAcentral is "partial 16S ribosomal RNA". It matches the Rfam family "Bacterial small subunit ribosomal RNA", at positions 338 to 795 of the family's 1533-position model. The record is from RNAcentral.
CCUACGGGAGGCAGCAGUGAGGAAUAUUGGUCAAUGGCCGGAAGGCUGAACCAGCCAUGCCGCGUGAAGGUCAGUGCCCUAUGGGCGUUAAACUUCUUUUGUGCGGGAGCAAUAAUGGUCACGUGUGGCCAGACGAGAGUACCGUACGAAUAAGCAUCGGCUAACUCCGUGCCAGCAGCCGCGGUAAUCCGGGGGAUGCAAGCGUUAUCCGGAGUUAUUGGGUUUAAAGGGUGCGUAGGCUGUGAGGUAAGCCAGCGGUGAAAUGCCCCCGCUCAACGGGGUGGAGUGCCUUUGAUACUGGCUAGCUGGAAUGCGAAAGCGGUGGGAGGAAUGUGUGGUGUAGCGGUGAAAUGCGUAGAUAUCACACAGAACACCGAUUGCGAAGGCAUCUCACGAAUCCGAGAUUGACGCUGAUGCACGAAAGCGUGGGUAUCAAACAGGAUUAGAUACCCCAGUAGUC